GAUGAACGCUGGCGGCAUGCCUUACACAUGCAAGUCGAACGGUAACAGGUCUUCGGAUGCUGACGAGUGGCGAACGGGUGAGUAAUACAUCGGAACGUGCCCGAUCGUGGGGGAUAACGAAGCGAAAGCUUUGCUAAUACCGCAUAAGAUCUACGGAUGAAAGCAGGGGACCGCAAGGCCUUGCGCGAACGGAGCGGCCGAUGGCAGAUUAGGUAGUUGGUGGGAUAAAAGCUUACCAAGCCGACGAUCUGUAGCUGGUCUGAGAGGACGACCAGCCACACUGGGACUGAGACACGGCCCAGACUCCUACGGGAGGCAGCAGUGGGGAAUUUUGGACAAUGGGCGAAAGCCUGAUCCAGCCAUGCCGCGUGCAGGAUGAAGGCCUUCGGGUUGUAAACUGCUUUUGUACGGAACGAAAAGACUCUGGUUAAUACCUGGGGUCCAUGACGGUACCGUAAGAAUAAGCACCGGCUAACUACGUGCCAGCAGCCGCGGUAA
This 498-nucleotide ribosomal RNA is filed under the name uncultured bacterium. Its description in RNAcentral is "partial 16S ribosomal RNA". It matches the Rfam family "Bacterial small subunit ribosomal RNA", at positions 28 to 523 of the family's 1533-position model. The record is from RNAcentral.